Molecule: ribosomal RNA, 450 nt
Filed under: uncultured bacterium
Lineage: Bacteria
Description: partial 16S ribosomal RNA
Rfam family: Bacterial small subunit ribosomal RNA
Source: RNAcentral
GUGGGGAAUUUUGGACAAUGGGGGCAACCCUGAUCCAGCCAUUCCGCGUGAGUGAAGAAGGCCUUCGGGUUGUAAAGCUCUUUCGGCAGGAACGAAACGGUGAGCUAUAACAUAGCUCGCUAAUGACGGUACCUGAAGAAGAAGCACCGGCUAACUACGUGCCAGCAGCCGCGGUAAUACGUAGGGUGCGAGCGUUAAUCGGAAUUACUGGGCGUAAAGCGUGCGCAGGCGGUUGUGUAAGACGGGUGUGAAAUCACCGGGCUUAACCUGGGAACUGCGCUUGUGACUGCACGGCUAGAGUAUGGCAGAGGGGGGUGGAAUUCCACGUGUAGCAGUGAAAUGCGUAGAGAUGUGGAGGAACACCGAUGGCGAAGGCAGCCCCCUGGGCCAAUACUGACGCUCAUGCACGAAAGCGUGGGGAGCAAACAGGAUUAGAAACCCGGGUAGUCC